Molecule: ribosomal RNA, 253 nt
Filed under: uncultured bacterium
Lineage: Bacteria
Description: partial 16S ribosomal RNA
Rfam family: Bacterial small subunit ribosomal RNA
Source: RNAcentral
UACAGAGGGUGCGAGCGUUAAUCGGAAUUACUGGGCGUAAAGCGCACGUAGGUGGCUUUGCAAGUCGAUUGUGAAAUCCCCGGGCUUAACCUGGGAACUGCAUCCGAUACUGGAUGGCUUGAAUUCGGGAGAGGGAUGCAGAAUUCCAGGUGUAGCGGUGAAAUGCGUAGAUAUCUGGAGGAAUACCGGUGGCGAAGGCGGCAUCCUGGACCGACAUUGACGCUGAGGAGCGAAAGCUAGGGGAGCAAACGGG